GCGUUGGUGGUAUAGUGGUGAGCAU
This 25-nucleotide non-coding RNA is filed under the name Drosophila erecta. RNAcentral also lists the same sequence under 8 other names. Lineage: Eukaryota; Metazoa; Arthropoda; Insecta; Diptera; Drosophilidae. The record is from RNAcentral.